RNAcentral lists this ribosomal RNA (900 nucleotides) under Gracilibacillus sp. JSM 102019. RNAcentral's name for it is "bacterial SSU rRNA". It matches the Rfam family "Bacterial small subunit ribosomal RNA", at positions 38 to 905 of the family's 1533-position model. Lineage: Bacteria; Bacillati; Bacillota; Bacilli; Caryophanales; Bacillaceae. The record is from RNAcentral.
GGGGGGGGGCCUAUAAUGCAAGUCGAGCGCGGGAAGCGAACGGAAUCCUUCGGGAGGAAGUUCGUGGAACGAGCGGCGGACGGGUGAGUAACACGUGGGCAACCUGCCUGUAAGACUGGGAUAACCCCGGGAAACCGGGGCUAAUACCGGAUAAUACAUGGUUUCGCAUGAAACCAUGUUGAAAGAUGGCUUUUACGCUAUCACUUACAGAUGGGCCCGCGGCGCAUUAGCUAGUUGGUAAGGUAACGGCUUACCAAGGCAACGAUGCGUAGCCGACCUGAGAGGGUGAUCGGCCACACUGGGACUGAGACACGGCCCAGACUCCUACGGGAGGCAGCAGUAGGGAAUCUUCCGCAAUGGACGAAAGUCUGACGGAGCAACGCCGCGUGAACGAAGAAGGUUUUCGGAUCGUAAAGUUCUGUUGUUAGGGAAGAACAAGUGCCGUUCGAAUAGGGCGGCACCUUGACGGUACCUAUCGAGGAAGCCCCGGCUAACUACGUGCCAGCAGCCGCGGUAAUACGUAGGGGGCAAGCGUUGUCCGGAAUUAUUGGGCGUAAAGCGCGCGUAGGCGGUUUCUUAAGUCUGAUGUGAAAUCUUGCGGCUCAACCGCAAGCGGUCAUUGGAAACUGGGGAACUUGAGUGCAGAAGAGGAGAGUGGAAUUCCACGUGUAGCGGUGAAAUGCGUAGAUAUGUGGAGGAACACCAGUGGCGAAGGCGACUCUCUGGUCUGUAACUGACGCUGAGGUGCGAAAGCGUGGGGAGCGAACAGGAUUAGAUACCCUGGUAGUCCACGCCGUAAACGAUGAGUGCUAGGUGUUAGGGGGUUUCCGCCCCUUAGUGCUGCAGUUAACGCAUUAAGCACUCCGCCUGGGGAGUACGGCCGCAAGGCUGAAACUCAAA